This 693-nucleotide long non-coding RNA is filed under the name Rattus norvegicus (Norway rat). RNAcentral's name for it is "long non-coding RNA NONRATT010544". Lineage: Eukaryota; Metazoa; Chordata; Mammalia; Rodentia; Muridae. The record is from RNAcentral.
CGGACUAGCACCCCUCAGAGAUGAGACGCUGAGGAAUGUGGAAAGGACUUUUGAGUUCUUUCUGUGAGCUCUGGGACUUAGCAAACCUAUAUGGUCCUGGCUCCAGUUUUCCACAAGCAGACUGUCCUUAGGAGCCACCACGUCCCCAGAGGCACGGAGGCCCACGACUGUCACUUCCUCUCCAAGCCUGUCUGCAGAGGACCCAACACAGCUCUCCAAAGCCAAAGCAGACUUCUUAUCCACAGUGAAAUCAACUGGACCAGAAAACAGCUCUGCACAUCCGGCUGUUGGAGCCUGUUUGGGCUGGACACAGCUCUGGUCUUCCUCAUGAACAGGUCUCCCCAAGCUCUUCCUCUCCCCGGCCUGGCUGGGGCUCUAGUGACAGUUGCAAGAAGGAUGUUUUGGUCAAAGGGCACUAAGCAUCGUAUAUUAUUCCAGGAUUCCCCCGGGCAUUUACUGUGCCUGUCUUCCAUUGCUACCAGAGAUGCCUUACAGGAUGCUUCUCUGGCCCAUCCCUUAUCAUCUUGAAAAUGGACAUUUGAAGAGACAGAACUCACAGUGUUCUCCAUCCCAAGGUCCAGUGAAUGGCACUGUGCUGCCCAAUGCCUACAGCUACUCAACACUAGGCAAGAAGGCACGUGACUCUCUACUUGUAGAAUAGGAGAAUAAAGUUCACAGUGGUCCUGUGUAAUC